Molecule: long non-coding RNA, 1194 nt
Filed under: Sinocyclocheilus grahami
Lineage: Eukaryota; Metazoa; Chordata; Actinopteri; Cypriniformes; Cyprinidae
Description: lncRNA (ENSSGRG00000015284.1)
Source: RNAcentral
UGUCCUCUGCAGGAUGGUAGGAGAACUGCAGGUGUGUGUUAUCCAGUGCUGAUCUCUGUGUGUGUGUGUGUGUGUGUGUGUGUGUGUGUGUGUGUGUGUGUGUGUUUGUUUCAGUAUAUAACGGCUCCAGCUCGUGUGGCCCCUAUGCAAGGAACAUUCAUCCAUCAGUUAAUGCCGGUAUCUCCUGUAGAGGUAAAUCAUGCAUGUUUCAUGAGUUACAUAAAUACUAGGGCUGCACAAUUGCACUGCAGCUCUCGAUCACUCAGUGUCCUCUGCAGGAUGGUAGGAGAACUGCAGGUGUGUGUUAUCCAGUGCUGAUCUCUGUGUGUGUGUGUGUGUGUGUGUGUGUGUGUGUGUGUGUGUGUGUGUGUGUGUGUGUGUGUGUGUGUGUGUGUGUGUGUGUUUCAGUAUAUAACGGCUCCAGCUCGUGUGGCCCCUAUGCAAGGAACAUUCAUCCGUCAGUUAAUGCCGGUAUCUCCUGUAGAGGGUGUAGUAACAGAAGCUCCCUCAUCACAGGAUGUCCAUGUAGCACGGCAACAGAUCACCAUGGACACCAGCGACCACAUUCAACCCUGCUCCUACCAGUCCAAAUAGCAUCCUGGAGAGGUGAAUGUACAUCAGCGUUGCCUUCUGAUGGACGCUCUGCACUCAGAUUAUGGACACGCAAUGAACUUCCAGGUGACCUCAGCACCAAAAACACUGACUUGACUCAUUCCCCACCUGGACUGUAGGACACCGCAGGGCCGCUUCAUGAGCUGAUGAUUGUUUUUUUUUCUUUGUCUGUUGGACUGAAGCUCCUUCAGAGAGUUCAUAAAUAUGAAAACAUUGCGUUGAUGGAUGCGGAUAUGAUGUACAAUGAUAAAGAAGAACACGUAUCGUCUUCCUCAGAUAUUAAGCUAUUGCAUCUUUAUAUUCUGUUGAUUUUCUUCUGUCAAGUGUUGGUUUUGUAGGAGUUUACAUAAAUCUCAGUUGCCUUAAUUUUGAAUACAUUUGAAUUAUGUUUAAUAUCCGGUAUCGUGUGUUAAUCAUGUUGGGACUGAAUCCUGAUAUCACCUUUUCUUCAUUUGAAGAAAAAUGAGGUAAUUAUAAUUUUCCUGAAUGCAUUGCAUUUUACUGAACAUUAAUUUUCACAAAGAGGGAAAAACAGUACAGCAGUUUGCUGCAAUUGAUAAACAUUCGUUUUUUGGGGGGGGG